GACGAACGCUGGCGGCGUGCUUAACACAUGCAAGUCGAACGGAAAGGCCCUGCUUUUGUGGGGUGCUCGAGUGGCGAACGGGUGAGUAACACGUGAGUAACCUGCCCUUGACUUUGGGAUAACUUCAGGAAACUGGGGCUAAUACCGGAUAGGAGCUCCUGCUGCAUGGUGGGGGUUGGAAAGUUUCGGCGGUUGGGGAUGGACUCGCGGCUUAUCAGCUUGUUGGUGGGGUAGUGGCUUACCACGGCUUUGACGGGUAGCCGGCCUGGGAGGGUGACCGGCCACAUUGGGCCUGAGAGACGGCCCAGACUCCUACGGGAGGCAGCAGUGGGGAAUAUUGCACAAUGGGCGGAAGCCUGAUGCAGCAACGCCGCGUGCGGGAUGACGGCCUUCGGGUUGUAAACCGCUUUCGCCUGUGACGAAGCGUGAGUGACGGUAAUGGGUAAAGAAGCACCGGCUAACUACGUG
Molecule: ribosomal RNA, 468 nt
Filed under: uncultured bacterium
Lineage: Bacteria
Description: partial 16S ribosomal RNA
Rfam family: Bacterial small subunit ribosomal RNA
Source: RNAcentral